UACAUUUUAAAUAUUAUAUUUAAUAUUAUUUGUUGUGUACACUGUUGCAGCCGAGCACAAGCUAACGUUAGCUAGCUAUCUUGCUAGCUAACGUUAGCUAACGUUAUUUAACUUGCUAGCUAAAACUGCUAACAGCAUGGACGAACUUGAUGACGUCACGGUGUCGACUUUAAGAGGAAACUGUAGACUCAAAAUCAACGAGCAGUUCUACUUCUAUGAUUGGGUCACCCCUAUCUCAGACAUCCACUCAAGUAAAAAGAUGUCCCGCAAAGCACACAACACCUGAAAAUGUUGUGAAGUUAUCCUUCCCCGAAUAUGUAUUGCACACUGACACCAAACUAGAGCAAUGCCGAAAACAAUAUUUUGAGUUGGCGAAGGCCGGCGAAGAGAGAAACUGCCAAAUGUCAAAGGACCUCAGAUGUCGGCUCAUCCGAAACACCAUGACCAGUAUGAUCGCAAUCCUGAGGGCAACGGGGGACAGAGACAGAUACCCGUCAAAGCCAGAAAUAACAGCUAUGGCAAAGCGAACAGUGCUGUACUACCCCAUGCUGCAGGACCGAGACCUGAGCAGCAAGUUACUGUGUACUCACAGCUAUACAAAAGAUUGAAAAAUUUGAGAUCACCCCAAAAGACCAAUCCAAAGAGGCGCCGACUCGAGGAGCUAAAGUGCCAACCUGACUGACCCAGAUGAAUUUGAUUCAAGUGACUCAACAGUCAUUCUGGAUCUCCCCUCAAAAGGGGGUAGCAUUCAAGCAUUCAAGACUUCCCUUCUGAAGGGAGUAGCACCCCAGACUCGGGCAACAAUGCCAGAUAUGCCCGCAUCUUUGCGUAAGAAGAAAACUCCAAACCGUGAGUCCGUCUCUCAGCUCCUGGAUUUGGAAUUUUCAGCCAGAAGAGCAUUCAUUGAUUCUUUUUGCGAGGAGGACAGACACAAGAAAAUUCCAGAGGACAUUGGACAUGUGAUGGAGGAGCUUCAACGCAUUCUGGACAAAAAUAACAUCCAUUACAUUGAUGAGCUGAAGGGAAGAUGGGACGACUUCUGCCAGAAGGUGCAGUUUUUUGGUGUGUGGAAAAAGCUGCUGAAACCCUCAGUAGGAAUGGACAAAGGCUCUCAGUAUCCUACGUGUGCUGCCUUCAUUGUCCCCCUCUUCAUCUGCUCCUCUGAAGAAGUUAGGACAUGUGAGUGAGGCUCUUGUGCAUGUCCUC
Gasterosteus aculeatus aculeatus (three-spined stickleback) is the source of this 1206-nucleotide long non-coding RNA. NCBI's taxonomy places the organism in Eukaryota, Metazoa, Chordata, Actinopteri, Perciformes, Gasterosteidae. The record is from Ensembl.